This 433-nucleotide ribosomal RNA is filed under the name uncultured bacterium. Its description in RNAcentral is "partial 16S ribosomal RNA". It matches the Rfam family "Bacterial small subunit ribosomal RNA", at positions 28 to 507 of the family's 1533-position model. The record is from RNAcentral.
GACGAACGCUGGCGGCAUGCCUAACACAUGCAAGUCGAACGAGACCUUCCGGUCUAGUGGCGCACGGGGGGUUAACGCGGGGGAAGCUGCCCGUAGGUUCGGAAUAACUCCCCGAAAGGGGUGCUAAGACCGGAGAAGGUCUUCCGACCAAAGAUUUAUCGCCGUGGGAUGGGCGCGCGUUGGAUUAGCUGGUUGGUAGGGUAAAAGCCUACCAAGGCGACGAUGCAGAGCUGGUGUGAGAGGAUGCUCAUCCACACUGGGACUGCGACACGGGCCAGACGGCUACGGAAGGCAGCAGUGGGGAAUAUUGGAGACUGGGCGAAAGCCUGAUCCAGCAAUGCCGCGUAAGUGAUGAAGGCCUUAGGGUUGUAAAGCUCUCUUACCCGAGAUGAUAAUGACAGUACCGGGUGAAUAAGCACCGGCUAAGUACGUG